Molecule: long non-coding RNA, 248 nt
Organism: Brassica napus (rape)
Lineage: Eukaryota; Viridiplantae; Streptophyta; Magnoliopsida; Brassicales; Brassicaceae
Exons: 2
Source: RefSeq, a predicted model, not a curated record
UUUGAACAUGAUUUUUUAACGAGCGAAGUAUUUGAUUUCAGCUUGUCUUUGUAUAGAUUUGUAAAUAUAUAAGUUGUCUGGAAGAAAUAAGUCGUCUGGAAGGUUUUCCAACUGGACGACUUACAAAUAAGUCGUCUAGAAGGUUUGGACGACUUAUUAUAAGUCGUCUGGAAGGUUUUUCCAACUGGAUGACUUACACUGGACUUCUAAAUAAAAUACACUGGACGACUUACACUGGACUUCUAAAA